RNAcentral lists this ribosomal RNA (253 nucleotides) under uncultured bacterium. Its description in RNAcentral is "partial 16S ribosomal RNA". It matches the Rfam family "Bacterial small subunit ribosomal RNA", at positions 524 to 776 of the family's 1533-position model. The record is from RNAcentral.
UACGUAGGGGGCUAGCGUUGUCCGGAUUUAUUGGGCGUAAAGAGCGUGUAGGCGGCCAGAUAGGUCCUCUGUGAAAACUCGAGGCUUAACCUCGAGAUGUCGGUGGAAACCAUUUGGCUAGAGUCCGGAAGAGGAGAGUGGAAUUCCUGGUGUAGCGGUGAAAUGCGCAGAUAUCAGGAGGAACACCAGUGGCGAAAGCGGCUCUCUGGGACGGUACUGACGCUGAGACGCGAAAGCGUGGGGAGCGAACAGG